RNAcentral lists this unclassified non-coding RNA (393 nucleotides) under Hevea brasiliensis (rubber tree). Lineage: Eukaryota; Viridiplantae; Streptophyta; Magnoliopsida; Malpighiales; Euphorbiaceae. The record is from RNAcentral.
AAGAAACAUCUUUAGCAGCAACGCGAACGCGACUAUUUUAGCUUGUAAUCAUUCAAAAAUAUAUAUUAAAAAAAAAAUUAAGAUGUCCGACUACGAAGAAGAAGGGUACCAAGGCAACGGUGAGGAUUUCGAGAUCGACAAGUACGCUGCCGGUGGUGGUACUGGUGGUUCCUCUCCCCAGCCUCGCACUAGCAGCCACAGCCAUGGCGGUACAGACGAUCUCAGUGUUUCCAAAUCUAAGUAUGGAUAUCAUGACCAUGCAAGAGAGUCUUCAAAAAGUAGGGAAAAAGAAAGAGAAAGGAGGCUUGAUAGGGAGAGGGAUCGAAAUCUUGAAAGGGAUGAGGAUAGGAAUCAUGAGAGGGACAAGGAUAAGAAGAGAAGCAGGGACAGGGA